This 303-nucleotide ribosomal RNA is filed under the name Triticum aestivum (bread wheat). RNAcentral's name for it is "partial small subunit ribosomal RNA". Lineage: Eukaryota; Viridiplantae; Streptophyta; Magnoliopsida; Poales; Poaceae. The record is from RNAcentral.
AUGUUUGAUUGCACAGUUACUACAACUACUGAUAGAGCUCAGAUUCUGCUAGCUGCCCAAUCUAUGGACGGCAAUCUUAGUUCGGUAGCGGAAGGCGAUCUGAAGCUGUUCCAGGAGCAGAAUCUUCCCAACUUUCUCCUCUCCCUAUCAGUAGAGAUGUCAAGUGAUGAAAGGCCACCAGAGUCUAGAACGGUUGCUGGUAUUAUGCUUAAGAAUUCGUUGGACACAACGGAUUCUGCAAAGAAAGAGCUGCUGAUUCAACAGAGGGUCACCCUGGAUCCAUCUGUCAAAGUCAAAGAUUAA